GUGGCAUCUUACAAAGAAAAGGUAGUUCGAGAUGGGAACACUUGUUUCAAAUGCUCUCCUCCCAUUCGCGAUGCUUCCAACAAGGAAAACCUCUGGGAAGCUCUGCCGUACAAACACAUCAGCACAGUGAGUAAGGAUGUGGCACCUUGGGGAAUAAUGCCUACAAAGCAAGCCCAGGAUGACGAUGCUGAUCACUAGCAUGAAGGAUACCAAGCAGGCUAAGGAUGAAGUACACGAUGAAGGCAAUGAGGACAAUGAAAACAUGCAAUCCAUAAACAUAGCAGCAGCUGCAAGUUCUUCUAUGUAUGAUAAUAUGAUUG
Long non-coding RNA from Triticum dicoccoides, 320 nucleotides. RefSeq lists it as uncharacterized. The transcript has 3 exons. NCBI's taxonomy places the organism in Eukaryota, Viridiplantae, Streptophyta, Magnoliopsida, Poales, Poaceae. The record is from RefSeq and is a predicted model, not a curated record.